Trichoplusia ni (cabbage looper) is the source of this 763-nucleotide long non-coding RNA. RefSeq lists it as uncharacterized. NCBI's taxonomy places the organism in Eukaryota, Metazoa, Arthropoda, Insecta, Lepidoptera, Noctuidae. The transcript has 2 exons. The record is from RefSeq and is a predicted model, not a curated record.
CGAAAAGAGACGAGUGUGCACGAACUGGCAACAAGCUCGUCCAGCAACCGGUCAAUAAGACGAUUAGCGCAGCCUCGGCUAUCCAUGUUCAUACUGAAAUUCUUUUGUUUAUAAUUCAAGUAAAUUUACAUACAUCUUAUAAUUUCAUUUUCUUUUAAGGUAAAUUGCUAGCUAAGGGAUUGACAUUGUAAUGUUCAGUAUUAGAAUGAAACUAAUCGAUGGGCAUAAUGGUAUUUUACUAUUCGCUUAUCAUAUAGCCUAAGUAGCUAAUUUAAGCAAUUUAAAAGUAACAAAAUUUUAGGAUGAGACAAUAAUAUGUAUGAUAAAAAAUAUUUAUAUUGACUAGCACGGCAUACUUAUUAAAUACUUUCAAGGCCACGGAUGUAAUAAGUCAAAUCGGACGCAUAAGAUAGUUUAAAUCUAAUAAUGUUUGGUCUUAUUAGGGUCCCUUUUUGCCUAAUACAGCAAAUGUGUUAGGUACCCAGACUUCACUUCACAUAAGAAAAUAUUAUAAAUUUAAGAGAUUAGAUAGCUAUAGGCCCGGUAGUUUUGCCAAUUCAAAUGGCUCAUUACUGCGAGACCAACACUUGUAUGUUUGGUUCCAGGUUCAGAUUUCAAUUUGGAGUAUAGGUUCCGUCUCUUUUUAAUGGAUUUUUUAAGGGUUUGUAAGCCAAACUCUAACGAAGAAUAUCAGCUACGUGAUGCCCAAGUUAUUCCUCAAUACUACAACGCGACUCAACUAUUAUAUUUAUAAACUACUUGC